Molecule: ribosomal RNA, 2397 nt
Filed under: Triticum aestivum (bread wheat)
Lineage: Eukaryota; Viridiplantae; Streptophyta; Magnoliopsida; Poales; Poaceae
Description: partial small subunit ribosomal RNA
Source: RNAcentral
AUGGAUGAUGGAACGGUUGGUGUUCAAGAAUCAAGUGACAUGUGUAUUUCAAGCGAUGAUGAUGGCAUUAAGCAACAAAAUGAACGCAGCGCAGAACUUGAACAUGAACAUAGCGAAGCUCAACCAGAUGCAUUAGUUGCAGAACCUGAAUUGGGGAUGGCCUUUGACACCGAGAAUGAGGUGCGAGAGUAUUACAUCAAAUAUGCUAAAGCAAAAGGCUUUGGUGUGACGAGAAGAAGUUCACACAGUGAUGAUAAUGGGCAACUGAAGUACCUUACACUUUCUUGCUCUCGCUAUGGUAAGACUCAAUCGAAGUCAAGAAAUAUGUUGAAGCCAAAUCCAACAGCCGGGAUAGGAUGUAAAGCUAAAAUUAAUAUUGCACGUGGUCCGGAUGGGAAGCUUCAUCUUUCAACGGCGAUUUUGGAUCAUAAUCACACAUUGAGUCCACAAAAAUCUCGGUUAUUCAGAUGCAAUAAAAAGUUAGAUUUCCAUGUCAAGAGAAGGCUUGAGCUGAAUGACUGCGCUGGAAUACGAGUAAACAAGAAUUUUAAUUCAUUUGUUGUGGCAGCAGAUGGUCAUGACAACCUGACUUUUGGUGAGAAAAAUUGUCGCAAUUUUCUAGAGAAAACUAGAAGGUUAAAACUUGGUAGCGGUGAUGCUGAAGCGGUUCGCGACUAUUUUGUCAAAAUGCAAUCUGCCAAUCCAAAUUUUUUUAGUGUCAUGGAUGUUGAUGAUGAAUCCCGACUUAGGAAUGUUUUUUGGGCUGAUGCCAGAAGUAGAGCAGUGUAUGAGUCUUUUCAUGAUGUCAUUACUUUUGACACGACAUAUUUGAUGAACAAAUAUGAUAUGCCUUUUGCUUGUUUUGUUGGUGUGAAUCAUCAUGGCCAUUCAGUGCUACUUGGGUGUGCUUUAUUAUCAAAUGAAGAUACUGCAACAUUUGUCUGGUUAUUUCAAGCAUGGCUUACAUGUAUGUCAAACCGUCGACCAAAAGCAAUUAUAACUGAUCAAGCAAAAGCAAUUCAGAAUGGUGUGGAAGAAGUUUUCCCGGAAUCUCGAUACAGAUGGUGCUUAUGGCACAUAAUGAAGAAGAUACCCGAGAAGUUGGGUGGGUAUGAUGAAUAUGAUCACAUAAAGGUUGCCAUUGGCAACGCAGUUUAUGAUUCACUGACAAUUACAGAGUUUGAAGUUGCUUGGAUGCAUAUGCUUGAGAAGUAUUGUCUUGCUGAUAAUGAAUGGCUCAAAGGGCUUUAUGAACAUCGACACCGCUGGGUUCCAGCAUUUGUGAAAGAUGCCUUCUGGGUAGGUAUGUCUACUACACAACGUAGUGAGAGUAUGAAUGCCUUCUUUGAUGGAUAUGUUAAUGCAAAAACUACAUUGAAGCAUUUUGUUACCCAAUAUGAGAAUGCUCUUCGUGAUAAAGUUGAGAAGGAGAAUAUUGCUGAUUUUAAUUCCUUCUAUUCAACUAUACCUUGUAUCACACGCUUUGACAUCGAGAAGCAAUUUCAGUCGGCCUAUACAAAUUCGAAGUUCAAAGAAUUUCAAGAAGAGCUAACAGACAUUAUGUACUGUGAUCGAAAGUUAAUACAAAAGCAAGGGGCAAUAGCAACAUAUGAAAUAACCGAGGAUGUGUUAAUUGACAAGGAAAAAGGAUGGAGAAAAGAUAUUGUGUACCAUGUAUAUUUCAAUGAGGAAGAGUUUGAAGUUAAGUGUUCAUGUCGCCGCUUUGAGUUCAGAGGUAUUCUCUGUAGGCAUAUAUUAUGUGUGCUCACUCACAUGAAAAUAAAGGAGGUUCCUCCACAAUACAUCCAUGAUCGGUGGAAAAAGAAUGUGAAAAGAAAGCAUAACUUUAUCAGAUGCACAUAUGGCGGCAUGGAAGACACACCUGUUGCAAAACGCUUUGAUAGAUUGUGUGAAUCUUUCUACCCAAUUGCGGAGAUAGGCGCCAUGUCAGAUGCUUCAUGCAAUUCUUUGACUGAAAAGCUUCACGCUCUCAAAAUUGAGUACUCUAGCAACUCAAUUUCUAAAAAUGACAAGAAUCAGGUUGGCACACAGGAAGAUGCGCCAUCGGAUGGGAAGACAACAAGUAAAACUAUUCUAAGUCCAAUACCUGUUAGAUAUGCUGGACGUCCUCCUUCAUUGAGAAAGGAAUCGAAGGUUGAUAAGCUUAUUCGUCAAGCAAACGAUAAGAAGAAGAAAGCUGAACAAAGGGACAAGAAAAAAGCAGAACAGGAGAAAAAGAAAGCUGAACAAAGGGACAAGAAAAAGGCAGAACAGGAGAAGAAGAAAGCUGAACAGAAGGUAUUGUUGCAUAUGUUACAUUUGUUCAUAAGCUACUUUUUUCUUCUUCUAAAAACUCACAAUUUUUGCAUUUAUUUCAGGCUCACUCCACAAAUUUAA